This 406-nucleotide long non-coding RNA is filed under the name Pan troglodytes (chimpanzee). Its description in RNAcentral is "long non-coding RNA NONPTRT017644". The record is from RNAcentral. Lineage: Eukaryota; Metazoa; Chordata; Mammalia; Primates; Hominidae.
UUUAGAGACAAGCUGGACAAAAGUGGCAGCAACGCCUCAUCGGACUCUGAGUAUAAAGUGAAGGAGGAGGGCGACCGCGAGAUCUCCAGCUCCAGGGACAGUCCCCCGGUGCGCCUGAAAAAGCCACGCAAGGCGCGCACGGCCUUCACCGACCAUCAGCUGGCGCAGCUGGAGCGCAGCUUCGAGCGGCAGAAGUACCUGAGCGUGCAGGACCGCAUGGAGCUCGCCGCCUCGCUCAACCUCACCGACACGCAGGUCAAGACCUGGUACCAGAACCGCAGAGUCUGGUUUCCAACCUGGACCCCGGCGCGGCGCUCUACCUGUACCGCGGCCCCAGCGCGCCGCCGCCUGCUCUCCAGAGACCUCUGGUGCCCCGCAUCCUCAUCCACGGACUCCAGGGCGCCAG